UAUCUGAUCAGUCCACUGUCCUGCCGAUUCCAUCCUCUCUUUCCUUCAUGUAGCCCCUCCUCCCCUCCUCUUGACCUGCUGCCGCCGCAAUUGAUUCAAGUCGUUCCUCUUGCCUACCCUCUAGUGACGCCGCCGACGGCAACACGACACUUGCCCGGCUGCAGCGCCACCAGAAGUAGCCUCCGAGGAGCUGGUUUGAUCCGCCUAUGAGGUAGAAAGGUUGGAUGGUGCCAUGCCGCCACCCGCAGAUGUCUACCUCCGGGCAACCUCCGCCUCACGAAGCUCAUCAUCUUGAUCCGCCUGCUCAUUAUCCGGAUGAUACCGUGCCUCUGACCCUUCCAGCCACCUUAAUUACGUGUUACCCAUCUGUCAGUUUGAUGUUGAUUUCUUCUCUUCCUUCCCGAUCUUGCGCUCUGUAUGUUCCCAUCUGUCCGUUCUAUGGUGAACCCGAUCUGUUGGUUUAAGGUGCGAGCGCUUACUCUUCAGUUUCUGGAUCCGGUUUCAGGAGUUUCGAUCUGCUGGGUAACCAAUCUUCAGUUUCUGGAUCCAUUCAUGGUGUGUCACGCACCGGCAACGCUUAAUACAGGUGUGACUUUGUAUUUUCUUCUGUACAAGCGUCUGCAACCUUCCUACUCCAGCAACAGAACCUCUAGCAGCAUGGUUCAUGGCUAGGUGGUCUUCAUACUAAUUUGGUCAACUAAUUUGGGUAAAUUUUGGAGGCUGGUUUUGGCAUAUUGUCGGAGUAAUGGGCCACGGGUAGCCUCACUCGAGCCCCCGAGCUUUUCAAGACUUUGGGCCGGCUUCGCCCCACGAAACCUCAUACUGAAGCGCCGCCUUCCGGUGGCCGACUGGCUUAACGACCGGCUGUCGGAAGAUGGCCAAGCACCAACAGACGACACCAAGACCGGCCGGCUCCUAGCAGACGGCCUCCAGAGAGGCCGGCGUCUAGCAGGCGGCCACCCAGCGUCCUUAGAGUCUGCGCCCUCAUCAAGAGGACAAGACAGGGUGAGGCUACAGCGUAGUUCCUCACCCCCGAAUCUUGGGCUUGACAUGGCUGCAGUGCCCCGUACACGCGGAGAUCUCCGCACGGCGCAGCACUGUUGCCACUCCCUCCUUGACGUCACUCCUGAUAGGCGGAGUCCUGUUCCCCACGACGACCUAUCGGUACAGCUUGUAGGCGGCGGGCCCUACCAGGCAGCGAGAGCCCGGAAGAUGGCGGAAGCCAGACCAGCCGGACCUGAGGGAGGCCAGCCUCCAGCAGGCGGCCAGUUCCUCCCUCGGGACCCGUGGACCAUCAACCAGAUAAGACAUGGUGUGGCUACAGUGAUCUCCCACUAGACGGCGGGACUGUAGCCACACUCCGCUGACCGAGCCUGCGUCAUUAGCAACACGGCUACAGUGAUCAGCCACCAACCAGACCCGCCAACGGCGGGAGCGGCCUGUCGGCUUCGUACCAGACCAGUCGGCAGGGCCCACCAGGUGGCGGGCCCCAGCAGCCGGCGGAGAAGCUGGCGACCAGAGACACUGACAGUCGGGCCCAGCACCCGGCCACAUUGCAUUGUACCCCUGGGGGUAGGCCUAUAUCAACCCCCCAGGGCACCCAUGCAAACGGUUCCCACUCCAUUAGAACUAGCCACUGCCCUAGAGGAAGAAGAGAGCUAGCCAUGCCUCCUUCUACCUCUAGCACACAACUCAAGGAGCACCAUUGUAUCACUUGUGCCUUAGUGAUCAUGCGGAGACCCCGCAAAGUAGGACUAGGGGUGUUAUCUCCUAGGAGAGCCUCGAACCUCGGUAAAGUGCGCCGGCGUUCGUGUCUACGCCUUAUCCCGCUUCUACGCACCGACAACGUUCUACUUGCUCCCACCAUGAUAAGCCAUCCGUUGGCAUAUGUCGCACCCAACCCCCGACACAUAUUGAUUUGGGAUUUCUUUACUUCAAUCUCUGAUGGCUGCUGGACAGUUUAUUACUACGACAUUUGAGGAGUUCUUCAGUUUUGAAUCUCUGGUGGAUAGCGGCUUUUAAUUUUCUUCUUCUCUAUUUGUUGAUCUGAUUCCAGCAUGCUCAAAGUUAAAUGGAUCUUUGCGUUCAAUCGACUAUCACAGGUAAAUACUUGCCUUCAGGUUAUGACGUUGUAGAAGUAUAACUUCUAGAAACUUCUGUGAUGUUUCCCUUUGUGGUGCUUCAGAUUACAAAGUAAAAUCAAUAUCUUUUGUUGGCUCGCCUUUUUAUUGUUCAAUAUUUAGACUAUAAACUUAAUUAUGUCUCUUAUUUUGUGAAAUAAUAUUAUCAAUUACUAUCCUGCUAAUCUUACAAGGUCACACAAAUGCAACAUUUAGUUGGACAGAUUAUGCAAAGUACGGGAUAAAACAAGACUCAUACUGAUAUAAUCGAGAUCACGCAGUGAAGGUUUUCUCCUAAAAUAGUGAGGGUUAAUCUACCAUUUAUAAAGAUGGGUGAUAAUGACCUUUCCUAGAUGGUGUAGUAAUGUCAUGGUCCCUUUGAUGACAUACAUAUUUGUUCUUUGCUGUGAACUUACAAGAAAAUCAACCUAUUUAUUCAAAUUUCAAAAGCAUGGAACUGUUUUUUCUUUCUUUUUGUAUACUUCUCCUGAUGUUUUGAUGACAAGCACUUAUUGCUAAUCUGCAUUUCAUGAUUACAUGUUUUUUGGCUGAUAGUAUUAUUAAACCUUUAAAAUAAUUUUUUUACUCGAUAUAAUGGUUUGCAAUGGUCUGUUGCUCAAUAUAAUUGCUGGUAUACAAUAGAUAAAACUAUACUUUCACCAAUUUAUCAUCCCUUUUUAAUAUAUUCAUUACUACAAAUUAUGAAACAGAACAAAUCAGUGCAUCAGUGAGGACCAGGGUUACCAAAUGAUGAGUUGAUAAACUGCCAAUAAGAUGUGAAAUCAAGAACCAAGUGUGUCGUAUGAUGGGCAAGAACAACGAGCUAGGCUAAAAAAUAGGGAAAACGAAGAUCAAAUAAGUUGAUGGGUGUUUGUGAUUUCAGUUUAAGGCUGAUUGUGCAUCAACUUUAGAGCUGUCUUUUUACCUUACAACCUGAUGUUGUUGCUAAAACUCCUAGCUGGUUAGAAUAAGAUUUUAGUGUCUGAUCUUGCAACUGCAGUACACACAUUACACUGCUAAAACAAGUACCGGUGCUCUGUUUUGCUAACCUGAAUAUUUAGUUUGUUGUCCUUAAAUCCAAGCAACUUAUUUUGUUGUACUCCCUCAGUCAUAAUAUAAGACGUUAUUAUAUUCAAUAUGCUUGCAUAUUGUAUGUAAUAACGUCUUAUAUUAUGGACUGAGGGUGUAUUUAGCAUUCAUAUUUCAUUUCAUCAUAUGUUUACGAAUUUCCUACCAUUAUAUCGAAGAAAUGCAUGGGCGCGGCAAUGCGCGCCAGCAAUGAUCUAGUAUUGUUAACAAGGAAUAGCUAAAGAAGUAGUGAAGCCUAGGCACGUCGACUAAUUAUGUGACAGCUGAUCUCUGUGCAGAUUAGAAGAUGUACGGUUUGAGAAACAACAGCGGCUGGAUAUCUUCUCGAUCUCCACAUCUUCGGCUACCAUCUUAGCGGUGAGAGGUGAGGGGACCUUCGAUCGGAGAGUUUUGUGAUCUUCGUCAGCAUUUUUAUAGGCUUUUGCGAAUAAAAUUGUUAUCCCUACCAUGGCAUUGUUAUGAGAGAGAUUUGUGUCAUCCGUUUACUCAAAUAUGACGAGUUUAUGUUGUUCUGUCAUGACUUUGUUGGUUUGAUUCUUCGGCGUUGGAAAUUUCCUCGACGCUGCAGUGAAUUUUUUGUGAUUCGACAACAUGCACUUAUAGGAAGAUCCUCGGACCAUGUAUGUUCAUCGAUCAUGGCUACCCAUCUAUUUGAAUGGGCGAGUCAUGCGUUUUUAAGAAAUCUUUAUUGAUAAUCCAGUUUAUGCAGGUGAAGGAAUGAUGAUGUCACUGCUCCAAUCCAAUUGUAGUCCCUUUCCUAAAGUAUUCGAAGAAUUUCAUUUUACAAAGAUUGAUGCCACGAACAAGACGUCUCCAAGAAUUGUUACUAUAAUUCUUAGGUGCAAGGAUUACUUUAUAAUAUUUUGGGUUUUGGGUGCAAAUCAUUGUACCUGUAAUGAUUACAAGUAUGAAUAAGGUUAAAUGUGUGUCUAAAAACUACAUGA
Molecule: RNA transcript, 4153 nt
Organism: Triticum aestivum (bread wheat)
Lineage: Eukaryota; Viridiplantae; Streptophyta; Magnoliopsida; Poales; Poaceae
Exons: 3
Source: RefSeq, a predicted model, not a curated record